GGGGGGGGGGGGAAGGACGUCACUAGCAAGGCAUCCAGGUGGGGCUGCAACGAGCAGUAGAAGACGGUGGCAGAUCUCGAUCUCGUCGUGGAGAUGAAGAAGGCCGGGGUCUUCGCCGCCUCUGUAGCUGCCGCCUCUUCCGCCGCUCUCGCCGCCGGCGACCACGCCACCAACUUCCCCUUCCCCUCGUCCUCCUCCAAUGAGGGAUCGGGAUCGGGAACGUCGAAGAAGAAGGACACCGCCGCUGGAUCGGGGUCGAGAAGGGGAGGGGACGACAAAUUCGCCCCGAGGUUCGACGGGCUCAGGUUCAUCGAGACGCUGGUGACGGCUCAUCGGUGACUCUAUGAAGAACACCACCACCACCACCACCACCACCAUCAUCACCAGUUCUCUUUGCUUCCGCCGCCGACAGGUGACCCUACGAAUUGUUUGCUAAUCUUAAAUUUCAUGAUUUAACUAUUAAAUGGUUUAAAGGAGCCCGAGAGUAGUUUGAAAAGGGGGCAAGGAGAAGGGAAGGACAAGAUUAAUGACUACUAUAUUAAAGUCUUUCGGAAAAGAAAGCUUCAGAAAUUAGAAAAAAAGAAAAGGUAACUGUGAGCUAGUAAAAUAUAAUUAGAUUCAUUGAUAUGUAUUAUUUUGAACUUAAAUGUAGAUUUGAGCUCCAUUUAUAAAUAAUUCUGUGUAUCAAUAUUGCAUUCUUAA
RNA transcript from Musa acuminata AAA Group (dessert banana), 702 nucleotides. RefSeq lists it as uncharacterized. NCBI's taxonomy places the organism in Eukaryota, Viridiplantae, Streptophyta, Magnoliopsida, Zingiberales, Musaceae. The transcript has 3 exons. The record is from RefSeq and is a predicted model, not a curated record.